RNAcentral lists this transfer RNA (72 nucleotides) under Hyperionvirus sp. RNAcentral's name for it is "tRNA-Arg". Lineage: Varidnaviria; Bamfordvirae; Nucleocytoviricota; Megaviricetes; Imitervirales; Mimiviridae. The record is from RNAcentral.
AGCCUUAAAAAGGAAUCGGACCUUUAUCCCUGGUUUCGAAGACCAGUGCUCUAUCCAUUGAACUAUUAAGGC